GGAGCUUGCUCCUGGAUUCAGCGGCGGACGGGUGAGUAAUGCCUAGGAAUCUGCCUGGUAGUGGGGGAUAACGUCCGGAAACGGGCGCUAAUACCGCAUACGUCCUGAGGGAGAAAGUGGGGGAUCUUCGGACCUCACGCUAUCAGAUGAGCCUAGGUCGGAUUAGCUAGUUGGUGGGGUAAAGGCCUACCAAGGCGACGAUCCGUAACUGGUCUGAGAGGAUGAUCAGUCACACUGGAACUGAGACACGGUCCAGACUCCUACGGGAGGCAGCAGUGGGGAAUAUUGGACAAUGGGCGAAAGCCUGAUCCAGCCAUGCCGCGUGUGUGAAGAAGGUCUUCGGAUUGUAAAGCACUUUAAGUUGGGAGGAAGGGCAGUAAGUUAAUACCUUGCUGUUUUGACGUUACCAACAGAAUAAGCACCGGCUAACUUCGUG
This 436-nucleotide ribosomal RNA is filed under the name Pseudomonas aeruginosa. RNAcentral describes it as "bacterial SSU rRNA". It matches the Rfam family "Bacterial small subunit ribosomal RNA", at positions 75 to 507 of the family's 1533-position model. The record is from RNAcentral. Lineage: Bacteria; Pseudomonadati; Pseudomonadota; Gammaproteobacteria; Pseudomonadales; Pseudomonadaceae.